AAGUCGUAACAAGGUAACCGUAGGUGAACCUGCGGUUGGAUCAUUACCAAAAUCCAUCUGGGCUCGUCUCACAUGUCCGGCUUUGCUGGCAGUGAGGCAGCCCAACCCACCUCUUGUGCAAUGUCAUGUCCUUGGCGGGCCAGGUUUCCCACCCCUUUCAGGGGUGUGGGGGCCUGCUUGCAGGGGACGUUUUCUCCUGACCGUCAAGAUAUUUUCACACCCUACUCUACCCUCUUCCACCUGACGUCAUACCUGGCCUGUCUCUCUCUCAGAGGGACGUGGUUUGGGGAUAUAACGAAAAACAACUUUUGACAACGGAUCUCUUGGCUCUC
This 332-nucleotide unclassified non-coding RNA is filed under the name fungal sp. RNAcentral's name for it is "partial internal transcribed spacer region". The stretch from base 1 to 46 matches the Rfam family "Eukaryotic small subunit ribosomal RNA", at positions 1786 to 1831 of the family's 1831-position model. The record is from RNAcentral. Lineage: Eukaryota; Fungi.